RNAcentral lists this ribosomal RNA (253 nucleotides) under uncultured bacterium. RNAcentral's name for it is "partial 16S ribosomal RNA". It matches the Rfam family "Bacterial small subunit ribosomal RNA", at positions 524 to 776 of the family's 1533-position model. The record is from RNAcentral.
UACGGAGGGAGCUAGCGUUGUUCGGAAUUACUGGGCGUAAAGCGCACGUAGGCGGCUAUUCAAGUCGGGGGUGAAAGCCCGGGGCUCAACCCCGGAACUGCCUUUGAUACAGCACGUCUCGAGUCCGGAAGAGGUGGGUGGAAUUCCUAGUGUAGAGGUGAAAUUCGUAGAUAUUAGGAAGAACACCGGUGGCGAAGGCGGCCCACUGGUCCGGUACUGACGCUGAGGUGCGAAAGCGUGGGGAGCAAACAGG